CUGCCUGGGCUGGAGAAUUAACUCAGAACAAUCCAGCCAUCAAUAGUGCACAGGCUGAGCCACUAAUAACAAGUACACACAGGUUCCUCCCACGGCCUCAUCUAUGGAAUAUGCAUCCCUCCCAUCACAUCUCUUAUGGGGAAAGAUGCCACGGAAUCUAGAAGACACACAUACUGAAAUAAAUGGCAGGUGUGGACAGUUAACAAGGCUACUGGGAUGAGGAGAGCGCCACACCCAAGCUGUCCCCGAAUGGCCUUCAUUGUGUGAAUCACUUGCUUGGCUGCCUAUCUCAGUUCUGCCUGCUGCAAUGAAUGGAGUCCCUAGCUGAGAGGCAUGGGAACCAACUCCAUUUUGAGCGUAGCCAGAAGACAGAGCAAGAGGAGACUACUGAAGAGGAAAGACCAUUGAAAAGGAAAGAGUGGCUUCCACGACUACCCCCAUGCCUUCCCUUCUGACUCCUCUGACAGUGAGUACCGUUGGCACACCGACUCUACCACGUUCUUCACUGACUGAGAUGGCAUGGUUGCCCUUGGCCUGGCUUGUGAGUAGAAGGGUGUCCAGGGCCACCCGCCUUAGCCAGGAUUAAAAGAACCAGAGAUGGAAGCUACAAGGAA
Molecule: long non-coding RNA, 614 nt
Organism: Mus musculus (house mouse)
Lineage: Eukaryota; Metazoa; Chordata; Mammalia; Rodentia; Muridae
Product: predicted gene, 35183
Exons: 3
Source: RefSeq, a predicted model, not a curated record